Molecule: microRNA precursor, 97 nt
Filed under: Nicotiana sylvestris (wood tobacco)
Lineage: Eukaryota; Viridiplantae; Streptophyta; Magnoliopsida; Solanales; Solanaceae
Description: MIR6152 microRNA precursor family
Rfam family: MIR6152 microRNA precursor family
Source: Rfam by way of RNAcentral
UGGACAGAUUAUUGUAUUCGACUGUAUUCACGGCGUAAAAUAGGGGAUUACACUAUUUUUAAAAUGGAAAGUGAAUCAAUUAACAUAAUAGACUCCU